UGGGGAAUCUUGCACAAUGGGCGCAAGCCUGAUGCAGCAACGCCGCGUGCGGGAAGACGGCCCUAGGGUUGUAAACCGCUUUCAGGAGGGAAGAAAAUGACGGUACCUCCAGAAGAAGGUGCGGCCAACUACGUGCCAGCAGCCGCGUGACACGUAGGCACCAAGCGUUAUCCGGAUUUAUUGGGCGUAAAGAGCUCGUAGGCGGUUCGGUAAGUCGGGUGUGAAAAUCCAAGGCUCAACCUUGGGACGCCACCCGAUACUGCUGUGACUCGAGUGCAGUAGGGGGAGCAGGGAAUUCCUGGUGUAGCGGUGAAAUGCGCAGAUAUCAGGAGGAACACCAGUGGCGAAGGCGCUGCUCUGGGCUGUAACUGACGCUGAGGAGCGAAAGCAUGGGUAGCAAAACAGGAUUAGAUACCCUGGUAGUCCAUGCCGUAAACGUUGGGCACUAGGUGUGGGUCUCAACCAACGAGAUCCGCGCCGUCGCUAACGCAUUAAGUGCCCCGCCUGGGG
This 510-nucleotide ribosomal RNA is filed under the name uncultured bacterium. RNAcentral describes it as "bacterial SSU rRNA". It matches the Rfam family "Bacterial small subunit ribosomal RNA", at positions 355 to 878 of the family's 1533-position model. The record is from RNAcentral.